CCUACGGGUGGCAGCAGUGGGGAAUCUUCCGCAAUGGACGAAAGUCUGACGGAGCAACGCCGCGUGAGUGAUGACGGCCUUCGGGUUGUAAAGCUCUGUUAAUCGGGACGAAAGGCCUUCUUGCGAACAGUUAGGAGGAUUGACGGUACCGGAAUAGAAAGCCACGGCUAACUACGUGCCAGCAGCCGCGGUAAUACGUAGGUGGCAAGCGUUGUCCGGAAUUAUUGGGCGUAAAGCGCGCGCAGGCGGAUCAGUCAGUCUGUCUUAAAAGUUCGGGGCUUAACCCCGUGAUGGGAUGGAAACUGCUGAUCUAGAGUAUCGGAGAGGAAAGUGGAAUUCCUAGUGUAGCGGUGAAAUGCGUAGAUAUUAGGAAGAACACCAGUGGCGAAGGCGACUUUCUGGACGAACACUGACGCUGAGGCGCGAAAGCCAGGGGAGCGAACGGGAUUAGAUACCCGGGUAGUC
This 465-nucleotide ribosomal RNA is filed under the name uncultured Veillonella sp. Its description in RNAcentral is "bacterial SSU rRNA". It matches the Rfam family "Bacterial small subunit ribosomal RNA", at positions 338 to 795 of the family's 1533-position model. Lineage: Bacteria; Bacillati; Bacillota; Negativicutes; Veillonellales; Veillonellaceae. The record is from RNAcentral.